ACCAGACCAAGUUUUCCAACUUGAGGGAGGCAGUCAAAGGGAAUUCCACAGGGCUAACGGGGAAACAGGUCCUGUUGAAGCUUGCUUCCUGUCUUGCAUUGCCGAACCUCCCCAGAGAAGUCUCUAGUUGCUGAAGAUGACGAAGGAAGAAAAGGAAAAAGAACACCAUUUUUGACCAAUGUUCCAGGCCUUGUGAAGAAUGCUUUAUAAAUAUUAUCUCAGUUGAUCCUGACAACAAUCCUGGGAGAUGUUCCUGACAAAAGAUGUAUCCUGAGUACCAGGAAACAUCAGAAUUCUCAAAAUGUAGAGAGAGAGAGCAGUUGUGAAUUGGAAAAGAAACCAGCAGAAAGAAGGAAGACACAAUUUAGCAUCUUAUGAAGUAUGAAACUUUGCUCCUCAAACUGGAAAAUUGACAAGAUGAUCCUUUCUUUACUAACUGUGUUUUUUUGGUCAUGAAUAGCCUUUGACCUUUAACAAAAUGGAAAUAUACAUAAUUGUCAUGGCCUUCAUUUUUCUGUCAAUUGUAUUUUUCCUUGUUUUUCUAUUAUGUUUUCUGGCACACAGCAAAGCCUUUGGAAGUCAGCUUCAAGACCCCUUGUUCCAAAGUGUUUCUGUGGCCACAUUCAAUCACUCACCUUCACCUCUCCUCUUUUCAAUGUCAAAUACUUACUUCUAUCACCAUGGUCACUUAGCUGACCAUACCAACCACCACAGGGAUUUCUCUCCUUACUGGACCUGCCUUAACAAUAUGGAUUCUCCUGCAGUAUAUUGUGAUAGUGCCACUUACGAAGCAUGUGACACUUAUGGAGGGGAUGAUACUUAUAGAGGAUGUGAUAUGGGUGGAGAUGGUGGCUGUUGUCACUGAAUUACUUGAACAAAAUUCCAAUUCCUCUCCUCCAAUGACUGGCAUCCACUACAAGAUGAACAAAGGCCCCUUUGUUCUGAUGCUGUGUCCCAUUCUUCUGUGUCUAGAGCCCAUUCUAGAAAAAAAAAACCUCUUUUACUUAAUCAAAGGAUACUUUCCUUAGGUGAAAAGAAAAGAGAAUAUCCCAAACCCCAAGAUGUUAAGGUCCAAUGAGAGCAAAUAAUAAGUAAGCCAAAAGGAAAGCACAAAGGACUCUAAGAUUGACUCAGAAGCCAAUAAUGAAUAAUUCUUUAGAAAAAGCAAAGACAUGACACCAGCAGAGAAUCCAGGACUGUACCUAACCUUCAUAGCCCAAAAGGUUCACCUGUGGAUAACGGGACAGGAGAAACAAUAAAUUUUGCCCCAGUUUUUAUGGAGGAGACAUUUGUGAGGUUUUCUUUCUCAAAAUAUUUUCUGAUGUAGAUGGACUAGAGACUUUCCAUCUGGUCAAUACCCACAAUUUCCUAGACCUACUAGACAAACUAGAUGAAGAAAGAUUCUUGGGUUUUCGUGGGGUCUAGCAAAAGUUUUGAAAGGGAAUUGAGAAUAAACUUUUUUCACAGGUAGCCAUCCAUUCUGUAUUGGAUCCAUAAAGAAAAAUGGUUCCCAAGAGAAUCCCAAAAUCUACAAACUUCAUAGAAAUAUUGGAAAAGGAAGAUUAUUGAAAACCUUUCCAGCUUCAAGACCCAGUUGAGGUGCUUCCUCCUUCAUGAAGUCUUUCUUGAUGUUUCCAGCUGAAAGUGCCUUCCUCUAAAGCACUAACUCUAGAUCUCUACUCUGUUAUAUUACUUUCUACCAUGUAUUAU
This is a long non-coding RNA of Trichosurus vulpecula (common brushtail), 1710 nucleotides long. RefSeq lists it as uncharacterized. The record is from RefSeq and is a predicted model, not a curated record. The transcript is spliced from 3 exons. Lineage: Eukaryota; Metazoa; Chordata; Mammalia; Diprotodontia; Phalangeridae.